CAGCCGCCGCGGUAAUACGAAGGGGGCUAGCGUUGUUCGGAUUUACUGGGCGUAAAGCGCACGUAGGCGGAUCUUUAAGUCAGGGGUGAAAUCCCGAGGCUCAACCUCGGAACUGCCUUUGAUACUGGAGAUCUCGAGUCCGGGGGAGGUGAGUGGAACUGCGAGUGUAGAGGUGAAAUUCGUAGAUAUUCGCAAGAACACCAGUGGCGAAGGCGGCUCACUGGCCCGGAACUGACGCUGAGGUGCGAAAGCGUGGGGAGCAAACAGGAUUAGAUACCCCGGUAGUCCCUGUCUCUUAUAC
Molecule: ribosomal RNA, 301 nt
Filed under: uncultured bacterium
Lineage: Bacteria
Description: partial 16S ribosomal RNA
Rfam family: Bacterial small subunit ribosomal RNA
Source: RNAcentral